AGCAGCCGCGGUAAUUCCAGCUCCAAUAGCGUAUAUUAAAGUUGUUGCAGUUAAAAAGCUCGUAGUUGAAUUUCGGGACCAAUUUGUUGGUCGUGCCUCGGUACGUACUGAUAUUAUUGGUUUCUCCCUUCUGAAGAACCAUGAUGCCAUUAAUUUGGUGUCGUGGGGAAUCAGGACUGUUACUUUGAAAAAUUAGAGUGUUUAAAGCAGGCUUUCGCUUGAAUACAUUAGCAUGGAAUAAUGAAAUAGGACGUUUGAUUCUAUUUUGUUGGUUUCUAGGAUCGACGUAAUGAUUAAUAGGGAUAGUUGGGGGCAUUAGUAUUCAAUUGUCAGAGGUGAAAUUCUUGGAUUUAUUGAAGACUAACUACUGCGAAAGCAUUUGCCAAGGAUGUUUUCAUUAAUCAAGAACGAAAGUUAGGGGAUCGAAGACGAUCAGAUACCGUCGUAGUCUUAACCAUAAACUAUGCCGACUAGGGAUCGGAUGAUGUUAAUUUUUAAUGACUCAUUCGGCGCCUUACGG
Molecule: ribosomal RNA, 520 nt
Filed under: uncultured Glomus
Lineage: Eukaryota; Fungi; Glomeromycota; Glomeromycetes; Glomerales; Glomeraceae
Description: SSU rRNA
Rfam family: Eukaryotic small subunit ribosomal RNA
Source: RNAcentral